RNAcentral lists this ribosomal RNA (641 nucleotides) under Salmonella enterica. Its description in RNAcentral is "bacterial SSU rRNA". It matches the Rfam family "Bacterial small subunit ribosomal RNA", at positions 11 to 641 of the family's 1533-position model. The record is from RNAcentral. Lineage: Bacteria; Pseudomonadati; Pseudomonadota; Gammaproteobacteria; Enterobacterales; Enterobacteriaceae.
GUUUGAUCAUGGCUCAGAUUGAACGCUGGCGGCAGGCCUAACACAUGCAAGUCGAACGGUAACAGGAAGCAGCUUGCUGCUUUGCUGACGAGUGGCGGACGGGUGAGUAAUGUCUGGGAAACUGCCUGAUGGAGGGGGAUAACUACUGGAAACGGUGGCUAAUACCGCAUAACGUCGCAAGACCAAAGAGGGGGACCUUCGGGCCUCUUGCCAUCAGAUGUGCCCAGAUGGGAUUAGCUUGUUGGUGAGGUAACGGCUCACCAAGGCGACGAUCCCUAGCUGGUCUGAGAGGAUGACCAGCCACACUGGAACUGAGACACGGUCCAGACUCCUACGGGAGGCAGCAGUGGGGAAUAUUGCACAAUGGGCGCAAGCCUGAUGCAGCCAUGCCGCGUGUAUGAAGAAGGCCUUCGGGUUGUAAAGUACUUUCAGCGGGGAGGAAGGUGUUGUGGUUAAUAACCGCAGCAAUUGACGUUACCCGCAGAAGAAGCACCGGCUAACUCCGUGCCAGCAGCCGCGGUAAUACGGAGGGUGCAAGCGUUAAUCGGAAUUACUGGGCGUAAAGCGCACGCAGGCGGUCUGUCAAGUCGGAUGUGAAAUCCCCGGGCUCAACCUGGGAACUGCAUUCGAAACUGGCAGGC